GCGUGAGCGAUGAAGGCCUUCGGGUCGUAAAGCUCUGUCCUCAAGGAAGAUAAUGACGGUACUUGAGGAGGAAGCCCCGGCUAACUACGUGCCAGCAGCCGCGGUAAUACGUAGGGGGCUAGCGUUAUCCGGAUUUACUGGGCGUAAAGGGUGCGUAGGCGGUCUUUCAAGUCAGGAGUGAAAGGCUACGGCUCAACCGUAGUAAGCUCUUGAAACUGUAAGACUUGAGUGCAGGAGAGGAGAGUGGAAUUCCUAGUGUAGCGGUGAAAUGCGUAGAUAUUAGGAGGAACACCAGUUGCGAAGGCGGCUCUCUGGACUGUAACUGACGCUGAGGCACGAAAGCGUGGGGAGCAAACAGGAUUAGAUACCCUGGUAGUCCACGCCGUAAACGAUGAGUACUAGCUGUCGGAGGUUACCCCCUUCGGUGGCGCAGCUAACGCAUUAAGUACUCCGCCUGGGAAGUACGCUCGCAAAGAGU
This 478-nucleotide ribosomal RNA is filed under the name uncultured bacterium. Its description in RNAcentral is "bacterial SSU rRNA". It matches the Rfam family "Bacterial small subunit ribosomal RNA", at positions 399 to 895 of the family's 1533-position model. The record is from RNAcentral.